This 493-nucleotide ribosomal RNA is filed under the name uncultured bacterium. RNAcentral describes it as "partial 16S ribosomal RNA". It matches the Rfam family "Bacterial small subunit ribosomal RNA", at positions 30 to 523 of the family's 1533-position model. The record is from RNAcentral.
UUUGAACGCUGGCGGCAUGCUUUACACAUGCAAGUCGAACGGUAACAGGUUAAGCUGACGAGUGGCGAACGGGUGAGUAAUGCAUCGGAACGUGCCCGAUCGUGGGGGAUAACACUUCGAAAGAAGUGCUAAUACCGCAUACGAUCUGAGGAUGAAAGCGGGGGACCGUAAGGCCUCGUGCGAUCGGAGCGGCCGAUGUCAGAUUAGGUAGUUGGUGGGGUAAAGGCUCACCAAGCCGACGAUCUGUAGCUGGUCUGAGAGGACGACCAGCCACACUGGGACUGAGACACGGCCCAGACUCCUACGGGAGGCAGCAGUGGGGAAUUUUGGACAAUGGGCGCAAGCCUGAUCCAGCAAUGCCGCGUGCAGGAAGAAGGCCUUCGGGUUGUAAACUGCUUUUGUACGGAGCGAAAAGGCUCCCUCUAAUACAGGGGGCUCAUGACGGUACCGUAAGAAUAAGCACCGGCUAACUACGUGCCAGCCGCCGCGGUAA